UCAGGACGAACGCUGGCGGCGUGCCUAAUACAUGCAAGUCGAGCGGACAGAAGGGAGCUUGCUCCCGGAAGUCAGCGGCGGACGGGUGAGUAACACGUAGGUAACCUGCCCCUUAGACUGGGAUAACUCCGGGAAACCGGAGCUAAUACGGGAUAAUAAAGAGAAUCACCUGAUUCUCUUUUGAAAGACGGUUUCGGCUGUCACUAAGGGAUGGGCCUGCGGCGCAUUAGCUAGUUGGUAAGGUAACGGCUUACCAAGGCGACGAUGCGUAGCCGACCUGAGAGGGUGAUCGGCCACACUGGGACUGAGACACGGCCCAGACUCCUACGGGAGGCAGCAGUAGGGAAUCUUCCGCAAUGGACGAAAGUCUGACGGAGCAACGCCGCGUGAGUGAGGAAGGCCUUCGGGUCGUAAAGCUCUGUUGUGAGGGAAGAACAAGUACCGGCGUAACUACCGGUACCUUGACGGUACCUCACCAGAAAGCCACGGCUAACUACGUGCC
This is a ribosomal RNA of 502 nucleotides. It matches the Rfam family "Bacterial small subunit ribosomal RNA", at positions 24 to 509 of the family's 1533-position model.